GGCCGCAUCACGUUGAAACACUAGUUCCCGUACAAUCACCGUAGCUAAGCAACGUCAAGCCUGGUCACUACCUAGAUGGGUGACCGCUUGGGGAUACCAGGUGCU
Molecule: ribosomal RNA, 105 nt
Filed under: Acanthosepion pharaonis
Lineage: Eukaryota; Metazoa; Mollusca; Cephalopoda; Sepiida; Sepiidae
Source: RNAcentral